UAAUAAGUGUUUUAUGGCACUUUUUAAAAUCCAUAUCCACCUUGUGUGCAAUGUCAGUCGAUCUUCUUCAUGGAGAUCGACCAAACAUCAACCUUUAUCUUUUAACUCUUUGUCUGAAAAAAUAUUAUGAAUAAACAAUUCAAAAUA
Molecule: unclassified non-coding RNA, 147 nt
Filed under: soil metagenome
Description: partial internal transcribed spacer 1
Source: RNAcentral